GCGACCAUACCUUAUUGAAAACACAGGUUAUCUUCCUAUCACCGAAGUUAAGCAAUAUCAGGCCAGGUCAGUACUUGGGAGGGUGACCACUUGGGAACACCGGGUGUUGUUGUAGGCG
RNAcentral lists this ribosomal RNA (118 nucleotides) under Cordylochernes scorpioides. The record is from RNAcentral. Lineage: Eukaryota; Metazoa; Arthropoda; Arachnida; Pseudoscorpiones; Chernetidae.